GGACGACGCUGGCGGCGUGCUUUAACACAUGCAAGUCAAGGGGGGCUGGGGGCAACUCCGGUCAACCGGCGAACGGGUGCGUAACACGUGAGCGACCUGCCCGCUUGUGGGGGAUAGCCGGCCCAACGGCCGGGUAAUACCGCAUACGCUUUUCCUGGGGCAUCCCGGGGAUCGGAAAGAUUGAUCGCAGGCGGAGGGGCUCGCGGCCUAUCAGCUAGUUGGCGAGGUAACGGCUCACCAAGGCGACGACGGGUAGCUGGUCUGAGAGGAUGGCCAGCCACAUUGGGACUGAGAAACGGCCCAGACUCCUACGGGAGGCAGCAGUGGGGAAUCUUGCGCAAUGGGCGAAAGCCUGACGCAGCGACGCCGCGUGGGGGAGGAAGGGCUUCGGCUUGUAAACCCCUGUUGCCCGGGACGAAUCCCUGACAUUGGUCAGGUUGACGGUACCGGGUGAGGAAGCACCGGCUAACUCCGUGCCAGCAGCCGCGGUAAUACGGAGGGUGCGAGCGUUGUCCGGAAUCACUGGGCGUAAAGGGCGCGUAGGUGGUAACCUAAGCGUGUGGUGAAAGCUCGGGGCUCAACCUCGAGUCGGCCAUGCGAACUGGGUCACUGGAGCACUGUAGAGGCAGGUGGAAUUCCGGGUGUAGCGGUGGAAUGCGUAGAGAUCCGGAAGAACACCGGUGGCGAAGGCGGCCUGCUGGGCAGUUGCUGACACUGAGGCGCGACAGCGUGGGGAGCAAACAGGAUUAGAUACCCUGGUAGUCCACGCCGUAAACGAUGGGCACUAGGUGCUUCGGGGAGCGACCCUCGGAGUGCCGGCGCUAACGCAUUAAGUGCCCCGC
RNAcentral lists this ribosomal RNA (842 nucleotides) under uncultured bacterium. RNAcentral describes it as "bacterial SSU rRNA". It matches the Rfam family "Bacterial small subunit ribosomal RNA", at positions 26 to 872 of the family's 1533-position model. The record is from RNAcentral.